CGCCCGGCUGUCGGAGGCGCUGGAAGGCCCGUUCCUGAUGGGCGAGAAGAUGACGGUGCCCGAUAUGCUGCUGGUGCACUGCCUGCGCUGGGCGG
RNAcentral lists this transfer RNA (95 nucleotides) under Roseovarius sp. THAF27. Its description in RNAcentral is "tRNA-Arg". Lineage: Bacteria; Pseudomonadati; Pseudomonadota; Alphaproteobacteria; Rhodobacterales; Roseobacteraceae. The record is from RNAcentral.